AGUGAACGCUGGCGGUAGGCCUAACACAUGCAAGUCGAACGGCAGCACAGUAAGAGCUUGCUCUUACGGGUGGCGAGUGGCGGACGGGUGAGGAAUACAUCGGAAUCUACUUUUUCGUGGGGGAUAACGUAGGGAAACUUACGCUAAUACCGCAUACGCCCUACGGGUGAAACCAGGGGAUCUUCGGACCUUGCGCGAUUGAAUGAGCCGAUGUCGGAUUAGCUAGUUGGCGGGGUAAAGGCCCACCAAGGCGACGAUCCGUAGCUGGUCUGAGAGGAUGAUCAGCCACACUGGAACUGAGACACGGUCCAGACUACUACGGGAGGCAGCAGUGGGGAAUAUUGGACAAUGGGCGCAAGCCUGAUCCAGCCAUACCGCGUGGGUGAAGAAGGCCUUCGGGUUGUAAAGCCCUUUUGUUGGGAAAGAAAAGCAGCAGGUUAAUACCCCGCUGUUCUGACGGUACCCAAAGAAUAAGCACCGGCUAACUUCGUG
This 492-nucleotide ribosomal RNA is filed under the name uncultured bacterium. RNAcentral describes it as "partial 16S ribosomal RNA". It matches the Rfam family "Bacterial small subunit ribosomal RNA", at positions 29 to 507 of the family's 1533-position model. The record is from RNAcentral.